UCUUUCGAUCCACUGAUUUUUUUUUUUUUUGUCACAACUUGUAGAUGUCAUAUUGAUUUCUGGUUGCUACAUUUUCUUGCUGUUGUUUUCUAAUCUCUUGGAUGAAUUUUGAAAAUGAUUAGCUGAUACUGGAUACAUGUAUGAUUUCCUGAUGUUUGAGAGGUUGUGUUUUUUGUUGCGUUUAAUCUGUUGGAUAAUUUGUUAAUCGAUCACUAUUAUCUCCUUUUACAGUUCAUUUACAGUUAAUGUUUUCGUUUUAGAAAGUUAUGUCUGCGAGUACGGUGUUGGUUUGAUAAUUUUAAUUAAGGUAAUAGCCACCGCCUAUAUUGAGCAUUUCGCGCGCGCGCGCGUAUUUAUGGCAUGGUAAGAUUUGGUUAAUUGUAGUUCUUAUAGAAAAUUUUGGUUUUGGCUUGCGAUCAUUUAGUUGCAUUUUUAUACAAAUGGCAAAUCGCUGUGUGGCUGCGGCAACUGUUUCUAGUUCUCUUCCUUCUCUCUCAAAAUAUCGUUAUCAAUAUUAACAGCCUCGGAUUUUCUUAUGUAUGUGUAUUAUGGAGAUGGAAGGUACAGAUGUUUGUAUGGACAAAGAGCCAGAUCGUGUCAUAACAUAUUCCUCUGGAGUAGUUUCCCAUGAUUCUUCUUGUGAAGAUAGCCUCAAUCAUCAAGAUGUUGUGGAGUCAUUUGGCGAAAUAAAUGGGCAUCAUGAUAUCCACAAUUCAGAAGAGGGAAGCGAAGCAAAGGAAUAUGAAGUGAAGGAAUGCACAAAUGAAAAAUCAAUCAAGGUUCCUGAACUUCCUCUUACAGAAAAACCUGACCAGCAGCAAAGUGUGAUCAGCUUGAAUAAUGAGAAAGAGAGACUGGACGAGAAGGUGGUACUAGAAGGAAAGAAUGCUCAUCAAUCUAUGUUAACUGUGAACUCAUUGAAAUCUUCUGCUGGAAAUGCUCGAACAAGACACACUGUUCCACAGCCAUUUGCCUUGGCAACAGAAAGGCGUGCUUCAUCUGGUACUCGACCUCCCAAUGCUAUCGUGGCUGAAAAAUCUAUCAAACACAAUGUUCAGCCUGCAAAUACCAAAUCCAAUCAGCCUGCAUCACCUAGAGCGUUGAGGAAGCCACUGCAACCUAAUAACAAGAAGCAUGCUGAUGAGGAAGAUUCCUGCUCGGUGGUUUCCAUCAGUGCCGCAGCAUCUCGGGCUAUUAAGACAAGAACUACUGUUGCUUCAGCUCCUACAUUUCGAUGCACAAAGCGUGCCGAGAAAAGGAAGGAGUUUAACUCGAAAUUGGAGGAAAAACUUCAAGCUCUGGUGGCUGAGAAGACCGAGUGUGAGACAAGGUCCAAGGAAGAGACUGAGGCCGCUAUCAAACAACUAAGAAAGAGUUUGUUAUUCAAAGCAAAUCCAAUGCCAAGCUUCUACCACGAUGGGCCUCCUCCCAAGGUUGAGCUGAAAAAGCUCCCACCAACUCGUGCGAAGUCACCUAAACUUGGCCGACGUAAGAGUUGCAAUGAUGCAGUUCAUUCAUCCUAUGGAGACAAGAUAAAAGUCAGUUGCGGCAAGGGAAAUGGUCGUCAUACAGACAGCUACAACAGAGAUAUCAUCGCACUGGAUGUCAUUGAGAAUCGAAGCGAUGUCAUUCGCUUCGUAGAGAACAAGCUGAAGCAAGAAGGAGCUUUCCACGAGGUGAUUCCUAUUGAUGUAAAUGGUUCAAAGAAUAUGAAUAUUUCUGUCCAAUCUUGAGUUUGUGACCAACUUCCAACUCGCUUCUAUCAUGCCUACUACGUCUCGCAUUUUCAAGAGUUCAUUGCAGUGGUUUAUGUAAUUUAUGAAAUGUAAAUUUCUGUAAUUUAUAUCGUUUGUUUAUGCGGAAGCAUUUUACUUCCGGACAAAAUACUUAUCUUAUAAUGGCCCUCCCCCUGAAAGAAAAAAAGGAAAACAGAGAGAAAUAGAUCUACUAAGAUGUGGUUCGAGCUAUUGUUUCCUUUGUUACUUUUGUACGUAAAUUAUAGAUUGACCAUUCUUGUUUUGUAGACUUCAAUGUGAAAUUAAAAUGGAUGUUCUUCAAGUGGUUUAUUGCUUUUACGCGACAUGAUUCCAUUGUUUCUGAAUCUAAUUAUGCUUUCUAUCAUACAAGAAAGGAUUCUUGCUCAUCAGUUAUUCACAUGCAUGGACGAUGAGGCAAAACAAGGGAACACAGACAAAUGCAAAAUAGGAAAUGAGCUUGGGAAGUAAUUUCACUCGAGACACCAGUGGCCUCAUGGAUCUUCUUCUACUAUCUCAACUCCCAACUGUCUCUUACGACACAGUCAGCUAUGAGUUGCUUGGAUCCCUUUUCUAAGGUAAAGAGAAUCCUUUUAUCCUUGCUUGUUUCUGUAACAAAUAAUAUGUUUAAUAUCUUGGAUGACCAUCAAGAUCUCAGAAUCCCUCGAGAAAUUUUCUUUUAGUAAGUUUGAAAACUGGUAUAGAGUCCCUUUUCACUAGCACAGGGCUCACACCAAUCUGAAAUGCGAACUCAAUACCUUACAGCUAAAGCUUCUAUAGGUUGCCAAGAGAAAAAGACGCAGCUCCCAUGACACCCUUUUAGAAUCUCAAAAAAUUGCUACAACUCCAAGUUAGCCUUUUCCAGUUGGAUUUAAGGCUGUGUAUGUGUUUGAUUUAGAAACAUUAGGACUAGAUCCUUCCUUCCACCUUGACGGUUUGAAUUGUAAGGUUCCAAAUUGACAUUGGGUCCGUUCUAGUGAUCUAUACUGUAUACCUUUUUACAAAUCAUUAACCUACAAACUUGCAUGAAAUCAGGUUUUUAUAGCCCAUUCCUUUACAUAAUUCAAACCCAAAUUUCUAACCAUUAGUUUCAUAAAACUAAACUUAUUGAAUACAAACUUCCCUUUAAAUUUAUCAGCUCCCUUGUAAAUAUUCUCUUCCUUGACUUGUUUGUGUACGUGAGAUCUCACCUUGAUUGGGGAGGAGACCAAAACAUUUUUUAUAAGAGUCUGGAAACCUCAAAAACCUUGAGGAGAACCCCGAAAGGGAAAGCUCAAAGAUGACAAUAUCGGCUGGCGGUGGGCGGUGGGUUUAGGCUGUUACAGUUUAUUUGAUCUAUUACUCGAUUUCCUCCCAAAGAAAUAUUCUUCCUCGGGUCUUGAGUAUUUAUCUCCCAAAGAAAUAUUCUUCAUCGGUCAUAUUGCCAUUGAAAUCUUUGCCAUACCAAAUUCCUCAACAAUGGAAAAUCUUCGCUCGUUUCGUAUGCCCCGACAUGAGAUACUUGCAAUAUGAUGUUCAAAAUGAGAAAAAUCUAAGGUCUUCAACGGCAGCGAGGGAUCAAGCUCACAGGCCUGAGUUUCUUUUAAAUACUUUCUAAAUAUCGUCAAAUUUACAAGUCUAUUUCCUUCGCUUGUAGUGAUCUUUUUUUCGGUAAGAGCAGUCUUUCACGUAAAAUCCAUUUGUUAGUUUGUUAAUUUUUCUUCUUUUCAUUACAUUUUAUCUAGCUUUUAUUUACUUGUUUGGUUCAUAAAUCAAAUUAUUGAACAAUCUGUUUGCAUAAUUACAGCUAUCUACAAGUUAGCCGACCCUAGGUAGCUUGUUGUUGAACUAACCCAAUUUCAACAAACACGGUCCAACUAUUUUUGUUGUUUCUGUUUUGAUCGUCUUUAUAGCUUAUAGUUGAAAAGUUAGAUUUGGUAGAUGUGGAAAAAGCACAUCCUUUGUAGUACACAACUGACCUUCAAAUCUGUGAGUUUACACGCGCACACAUAUAUAUAAGCCCAUAUGAAGAAUCAUCGCAUUCUCUCAUCUUAGCUCUCCAGAAUUGUUGAGGAGAAUGCAGUCUGGUCCGAGAGCAUCGUUUGAAUAGAUUGAUCUCGGACCAGGCUUCAUUCUCGCCAGCUCUUCGAUUAGCUCAGCAUGCUGUAUUACCUAGUUCAUAUACAACAAGUAAGUUCACAUCUAUUUCUCAAGUGCUUUUGUUUGUUUUUCUUUUUAUUUGUUGGAAUUAUGCACCUCCACUGGGACUGGAAAGAUGCAAGUCGAAGAAGGCAAAGCUGUACUUGGGAGAUUAGACCAGGUACAUUACUUCGAUGAAAAUUUUAUUUUUUUCUUUAAUUUCGUGUAAUUUAUAUUUUUAAAAAUAUAUUAGACACAGAAAAAGAUCUUUUCAUUGGAAAAGAACAUAACUUCUGAAAGAAAAAAAAAAAAGAAAAGAAAAGAAAAGUAGUUUAAUAAUUCAGCUGGUUUAAUAAUUGGGCAGACGCUAUUGUUUAAUUUAGGAUUAAUAUUUAUUUAUUUUGGAAGAAUAAUUUGUAAUUUAGAGGUGGGGUGUACAUGCUAAUUCCUAUUUUCUUGAUUUCGCAAUAAAAUUUUGAUUUUUGUAGUCAUUAAUAAAUGGGAUAAUGAUGUUGUCGGGAUCAUUUUCC
This is a non-coding RNA of Cucurbita pepo subsp. pepo (vegetable marrow), 4402 nucleotides long. NCBI's taxonomy places the organism in Eukaryota, Viridiplantae, Streptophyta, Magnoliopsida, Cucurbitales, Cucurbitaceae. The record is from RefSeq and is a predicted model, not a curated record.